Molecule: ribosomal RNA, 483 nt
Filed under: Veillonella parvula
Lineage: Bacteria; Bacillati; Bacillota; Negativicutes; Veillonellales; Veillonellaceae
Description: bacterial SSU rRNA
Rfam family: Bacterial small subunit ribosomal RNA
Source: RNAcentral
GACGAACGCUGGCGGCGUGCUUAACACAUGCAAGUCGAACGAAGAGCGAUGGAAGCUUGCUUCUAUCAAUCUUAGUGGCGAACGGGUGAGUAACGCGUAAUCAACCUGCCCUUCAGAGGGGGACAACAGUUGGAAACGACUGCUAAUACCGCAUACGAUCUAAUCUCGGCAUCGAGGAUAGAUGAAAGGUGGCCUCUACAUGUAAGCUAUCACUGAAGGAGGGGAUUGCGUCUGAUUAGCUAGUUGGAGGGGUAACGGCCCACCAAGGCGAUGAUCAGUAGCCGGUCUGAGAGGAUGAACGGCCACAUUGGGACUGAGACACGGCCCAGACUCCUACGGGAGGCAGCAGUGGGGAAUCUUCCGCAAUGGACGAAAGUCUGACGGAGCAACGCCGCGUGAGUGAUGACGGCCUUCGGGUUGUAAAGCUCUGUUAAUCGGGACGAAAGGCCUUCUUGCGAAUAGUGAGAAGGAUUGACGGUACCG